AUUUGGGUUAUGCAAAUAAAAUUGAAUUGAAUUGAAUUAUCAAUCUUUUAAAAAUCCAUAAUUUUUUUAAAUACACCAUUGCAGUUUAAGUUGAAGACAAUUUAUGGAAAAUAGGGUCGUAUGUGGUUUUCAAGGUUAUAUUGUCAUGGUGCCUCUGUCAGUCUCUCCUCCCCUCCCCACUCUGCUCUGCUUUCCUGAUUGGACCCAGCUGUGGACGCCCACCUCGUCAUCCACCUGCCUUCAUAAGGAGUUCCAGUCCCAGCAUUCAUUGCCAGUUCCUUGCCCCUUAUGGACAAAUCACCACGAGCUGUCCACCUGGGUCCUUUCCUGUUGGUGCAAUCGUAACCUCCAGCCACGCCACGACUCCAGCCAAACCAAGAAUCGCAAGCCACGCCAAGAUCUCAAGCUACGCCACAACUCCAAGCCAGAACUCCCGGUCGUCACCCCAUACUCAUCACGCAGUCGGACAAUCCUCAUAUCACUCACCCUCUGAACCACGUCCAGGAAAAUAAAUCCAUUUAAACUUCCAUCUAACUCUCUUGAAUGACUUCAACAGAGCAACAUUACACAAGCAGCUGAAUGUCCUUUGCUUUGAAAAAGAUCAUGUACCUCCUACCCCCUUGUUUUAUAGCACGUUAAAGAAUAUUAAUGUCAUCUAUACCUUCAAUUUUUCUCACUUUGGUUUUAUUAAAUAUUUGUUUUAUUUUUGGGGUUUCUCACUUCAUUAAAAUUAUUUUGACUGUGCCAUUUUACAACUUUUGGCUUCUUUAAAGCCAAAAGUUUUUUUUGAUUUAUUUUGUCACCUGAAGCUCUUCUGUAAUUGUAUUCUCUUUUCACAUCAGCACUUUCUCAGAUGGAUUUCUUACCAUGUUUGAGUUCAGUCAUCUACAUAUAAGAGUUUAUUUAAGGAACAUUGUUUCCUAAAUACAUACCAAAAAAGAUUCACACCAUUUCUAUGUUAUCACACAUUCACAGACAGAACAGCAAGAAGUAUAUGAAAAGCUGAAAUGAGGGAAAAAAUAAUAAUAAUGGAAAGACAUUGUAUAUUUUGAUGGAAAAUGACAAAUGAGAGUGAGAUCAAUGGGAUAUUGAAACAAAUCAGAAAUGUGGACAGUUCAUGGCUACUUUACCAUCAAAGUGGACAUGAACAGAAACCACCCAUCCACCCGUUUCUACUGUUGGGUGAAGGCGCGACACACCCUGGGCAAGUUGCCACUCUGUCGCAGGGCUGAGAAGAAACAGAGACUUACAAUAAUGGAUGUCAUUGUGGGAUUAUCAACAUCCCUUAAACAUUUUUCUCUCCCUUUUUUUGCAGCUGAAGCCCAGCUGCUUGGAGUUUGAAGGCAGCCCUCUGACGAGGCAGUGACCAGCGCUGACUGGGAAUGCUUCCAGCCUCAGAACAACCCUGGUCCAAGAAGGAGCUGCCAGACUUCGCAGGAAGCCUUUCACAGGCCGCCACAGCCAUUGAUCUACUUUCCAGUGAAUCCGUAGAUUUUUUACGGAGGCUACACCACUACACUGUGAGCGUUGUUCUUGCAGUAGGGCACCCUCCUGAGCGUAUUUCACAGGCUGUACACCAAACCCAGUAUCAAAGUCAGCAUCCAAUAACACUUGUUUAUGUGUGAAAGCAGCCUGAAGAACACCAAACACUUCCUCGGAUCUCAGCUGAAUCCUCGUCAUGUGGUCCAAAGUUUUUCAGCCUUUGUCUUGACAGUUCCUUGGCUCCUCUUCUCUUUUUAACCAGACUUUAUUCCGCCUGCAGUCAAGAGUCAUUAUAGCACUCAAGAAAUCACAACACAUCAAAAGAGUGUUAUUGAGUGAACUUAAAAUUUUAAUUAGCAAGACCAUAGAAAGACAGGUAGUUGUCUAAAGUUUCAAAAAAGUGGCAGGACUCUUUGGGGCUUCAAGAGAGGUCAUGUGAUCAAUGUCUUUCAAAAGACUGCAGAUUCAGUCCAGCCGUAAAAGCAAUCAAAGAAAAAAAAUCCAUGCAGGACUGGACCAUUGUGGUAAAGAACUCUCAAACAUUGAUGCAGUUUUACUUCAAAGUCUCAAGGGGUUGAGAGUUCUUCAAAGAAUGGGCCCGGUGUCCUUGUCCUGCACAACUCAGAGCCAACUUCUUUAGAAAAGGGCCCUCUGGGAUCAGAGUUCCUGCGUAACAUAACAGCUUUACCGAAGGAUCAUGUUGUGCGUUGAGCUGCUGCUGUCCAAUAAAUGUCAUGUAAUGAAGCAGUUAUUAGGUUGCUAGUUGUAGGUAAUGCAGUCAGCAGGGAGAGAGGGCUGCUUGUGGUGCUAAUAAAGCAGUCAUAUCCGCAGUCACUGACUAGUCUAAUUGACAGACUCAUGAGGGGAGAACUGCUAAUUGAUUACAGGCUUGUCCUGUUCCAACUCCCCAGGGGACUGCUGGGUAAUGGACUUCGAGGUCUUGUUCUUGAGUUUAUCUUGUUGAGAAGAUUUGGCUGAAUUUUCCUCAAACUGAGAACGGUCCCUGUUCCAUCUGAAGCCUAAAUAAAGCAGCUUUAAAGUCUUUUAGCCCUUGCAAAAACUAAUUGCUUCUCAGAUUGAAUCAAUCACUUAGUUUUGUGCUGCCUAACAUUUUUUUCAGCGAUUGUAACAUGAUAUAUCUUCAAAGCAGAAUUAACUUAAUUAAGCAGCAUAAUGUCCCUCAGUUGUUUACGACAAUGUUUGUUUAAAAGCUAAAAGUUGUUUAGGUCCCUGUUACUUAGAAAUUAACUUAAAAGAAAAUCACACAUUAGCAACAGAGUGUGAACAUGAAACCAAAGAUUAAGGCUUUACCCUCAAAGCCACAUUACAGUUCAUGUUUAUGGUUUCUGUUAUAUAUCUGUAAAUGCUCAUGAAUAUGAAUUUGCAUCGUGUGGGGAUGCAUUUGGGUAUGUUGGCCAUUAAGAUUGAAAUGGAACCAAAUCAGUGUUUACAUUUGAGAAUAAGUGUUGGAUGUUUUCAUGUGUGUAUGUUUCUACCAAUAUGUGUGUAUCUGAAACUGAUGAAUAUUUACUCAUUUGAGAGGGAACAUGAUUAUACAAGAUACUGGGUGCACUGAGUGUAACUAAUUGGGUCUAGGGCGGGAUGGUGAGAACUUUUAAGGCUUUUACUUCUUUUCACUUCCUUUUGGAUAUUUGUUUUACUGUUUGGAAAAUGUGCAUAGUUAAGUUUCUGACAUGCCACAAAGGUAAAGAAGGUAUUUACAGAAGCAAUAAACAGUUUUUUGCUUUUCUAUCCAUCAGUGGCUUAGACAUUGGGAUGCCUAAAACAUUCAGAGAGUACAUGACAUCAACUGAAGACAACAAGAUUAAACGGAUGCACCUACAUUUGCCUCCAAGCAGGCCAUGAUCAUCUAAUAGAGGAGACUAUUUUAGAGUUAAGCUCUACUUUGAUUUGUGUUUAGGUCCUGUUUCUGUUAAGCACAUUGUGUUUGUCUCCUCUAAUAUUGCUUUUUUGAAACCGUAUGAGGCAAUAAAGCAAGACAGCAAAGUGCCUGACCACA
This is a non-coding RNA of Oryzias latipes (Japanese medaka), 3502 nucleotides long. The record is from RefSeq and is a predicted model, not a curated record. Lineage: Eukaryota; Metazoa; Chordata; Actinopteri; Beloniformes; Adrianichthyidae.